RNAcentral lists this ribosomal RNA (690 nucleotides) under uncultured bacterium. RNAcentral's name for it is "bacterial SSU rRNA". It matches the Rfam family "Bacterial small subunit ribosomal RNA", at positions 28 to 699 of the family's 1533-position model. The record is from RNAcentral.
AAUCAACGCUGGCGGCGUGCUUAACACAUGCAAGUCGAACGCGAAAGGGGCUUCGGCCCUGAGUAGAGUGGCAAACGGGUGAGUAACACGUGAGUGACCUACCCUCGAGUGGGGGAUAACGCUCCGAAAGGAACGCUAAUACCGCAUGUCAUCCCGCCUUUGAACAGGCGGUGAUGAAAGCCGGGGAUCGCAAGACCUGGCGCUUGAGGAGGGGCCCGCGCCCGAUUAGCUUGUUGGUGAGGUAAUGGCUCACCAAGGCAACGAUCGGUAGCCGGCCUGAGAGGGCGGACGGCCACACUGGGACUGAGACACGGCCCAGACUCCUACGGGAGGCAGCAGUGGGGAAUUGUUCGCAAUGGGCGAAAGCCUGACGACGCAACGCCGCGUGAAGGAUGAAGGUCUUCGGAUUGUAAACUUCUGUUGCCUGGAAAGAAUGGCCCUGACCUAAUACGUCAGGGUUUGACGGUACCAGGUGAGGAAGCCCCGGCUAACUCUGUGCCAGCAGCCGCGGUAAUACAGAGGGGGCGAGCGUUGUUCGGAAUUACUGGGCGUAAAGGGCGCGUAGGCGGCCUGUUAAGUCGAACGUGAAAUCCCCGGGCUCAACCCGGGAACUGCGCUCGAGACUGGCAGGCUUGAAUCCGGGAGAGGGAUGUGGAAUUCCAGGUGUAGCGGUGAAAUGCGUAGAUAUCU